CAGUCGAACGAACUCUGGUAUUGAUUGGUGCUUGCAUCAUGAUUUACAUUUGAGUGAGUGGCGAACUGGUGAGUAACACGUGGGAAACCUGCCCAGAAGCGGGGGAUAACACCUGGAAACAGAUGCUAAUACCGCAUAACAACUUGGACCGCAUGGUCCGAGCUUGAAAGAUGGCUUCGGCUAUCACUUUUGGAUGGUCCCGCGGCGUAUUAGCUAGAUGGUGGGGUAACGGCUCACCAUGGCAAUGAUACGUAGCCGACCUGAGAGGGUAAUCGGCCACAUUGGGACUGAGACACGGCCCAAACUCCUACGGGAGGCAGCAGUAGGGAAUCUUCCACAAUGGACGAAAGUCUGAUGGAGCAACGCCGCGUGAGUGAAGAAGGGUUUCGGCUCGUAAAACUCUGUUGUUAAAGAAGAACAUAUCUGAGAGUAACUGUUCAGGUAUUGACGGUAUUUAACCAGAAAGCCACGGCUAACUACGUGCCAGCAGCCGCGGUAAUACGUAGGUGGCAAGCGUUGUCCGGAUUUAUUGGGCGUAAAGCGAGCGCAGGCGGUUUUUUAAGUCUGAUGUGAAAGCCUUCGGCUCAACCGAAGAAGUGCAUCGGAAACUGGGAAACUUGAGUGCAGAAGAGGACAGUGGAACUCCAUGUGUAGCGGUGAAAUGCGUAGAUAUAUGGAAGAACACCAGUGGCGAAGGCGGCUGUCUGGUCUGUAACUGACGCUGAGGCUCGAAAGUAUGGGUAGCAAACAGGAUUAGAUACCCUGGUAGUCCAUACCGUAAACGAUGAAUGCUAAGUGUUGGAGGGUUUCCGCCCUUCAGUGCUGCAGCUAACGCAUUAAGCAUUCCGCCUGGGGAGUACGGCCGCAAGGCUGAAACUCAAAGGAAUUGACGGGGGCCCGCACAAGCGGUGGAGCAUGUGGUUUAAUUCGAAGCUACGCGAAGAACCUUACCAGGUCUUGACAUACUAUGCAAAUCUAAGAGAUUAGACGUUCCCUUCGGGGACAUGGAUACAGGUGGUGCAUGGUUGUCGUCAGCUCGUGUCGUGAGAUGUUGGGUUAAGUCCCGCAACGAGCGCAACCCUUAUUAUCAGUUGCCAGCAUUAAGUUGGGCACUCUGGUGAGACUGCCGGUGACAAACCGGAGGAAGGUGGGGAUGACGUCAAAUCAUCAUGCCCCUUAUGACCUGGGCUACACACGUGCUACAAUGGAUGGUACAACGAGUUGCGAACUCGCGAGAGUAAGCUAAUCUCUUAAAGCCAUUCUCAGUUCGGAUUGUAGGCUGCAACUCGCCUACAUGAAGUCGGAAUCGCUAGUAAUCGCGGAUCAGCAUGCCGCGGUGAAUACGUUCCCGGGCCUUGUACACACCGCCCGUCACACCAUGAGAGU
Molecule: ribosomal RNA, 1386 nt
Filed under: Lactobacillus sp.
Lineage: Bacteria; Bacillati; Bacillota; Bacilli; Lactobacillales; Lactobacillaceae
Description: bacterial SSU rRNA
Rfam family: Bacterial small subunit ribosomal RNA
Source: RNAcentral